ACUGAUUUGGCUGAGUGGUUAAGGCAUUGGACUUAAGAUCCAACGGGGUACUGCCUGCGUCGGUUUAAACCUCACUACUGGUA
This 83-nucleotide transfer RNA is filed under the name Nomascus leucogenys (northern white-cheeked gibbon). It matches the Rfam family "tRNA". From Rfam's summary of the family: Transfer RNA (tRNA) molecules are approximately 80 nucleotides in length. Their secondary structure includes four short double-helical elements and three loops (D, anti-codon, and T loops). Further hydrogen bonds mediate the characteristic L-shaped molecular structure. tRNAs have two regions of fundamental functional importance: the anti-codon, which is responsible for specific mRNA codon recognition, and the 3' end, to which the tRNAs corresponding amino acid is attached (by aminoacyl-tRNA synthetases). tRNAs cope with the degeneracy of the genetic code in two manners: having more than one tRNA (with a specific anti-codon) for a particular amino acid; and 'wobble' base-pairing, i.e. permitting non-standard base-pairing at the 3rd anti-codon position. The record is from Rfam by way of RNAcentral. Lineage: Eukaryota; Metazoa; Chordata; Mammalia; Primates; Hylobatidae.